UACAUAGGGGGCGAGCGUUAUCCGGAAUUAUUGGGCGUAAAGAGUGCGUAGGCGGUUUAUUAAGUCUGGUGUGAAAUCCCAUAGCUUAACUAUGGCGGGUCAUUGGAAACUGGUAAACUUGAGUACAGUAGGGGCAAGUGGAAUUCCAAGUGGAGCGGUGGAAUGCGUAGAUAUUUGGAGGAACACCAGUGGCGAAGGCGGCUUGCUGGGCUGGAACUGACGCUGAGGCACGAAAGCGUAGGGAG
Molecule: ribosomal RNA, 245 nt
Filed under: uncultured Bacillota bacterium
Lineage: Bacteria; Bacillati; Bacillota
Description: uncultured Firmicutes bacterium partial 16S ribosomal RNA
Rfam family: Bacterial small subunit ribosomal RNA
Source: RNAcentral